UCAAAAUAAUAGUGUGAUAUGAGUGAUUCUUUAAAAUUGGUAAAAGGCAAUGUACUGCUCAGAUUUCGAGCUGGCUCGCCUCGCUUAUUUCAUUUUGUCCUGAAGGAACAAUAAUGUUCUAGGAUUGUUUUUGACUUGGAUUUUAGUACGUUACAGCAGAACUCAAACUUCGUCUGCAUAUGAUCAUCGUCCCGGCGAGCAGCAGGACCAGGUUUAAUGUUGAUGAAACUGGACUCCGUGGUACAUAUCAGGUCCACCCUUCGUCUUAGAUUACCACAACGACGACACCGUUACUGGCACCGCCAUCAGUUUUUCUCCUGCUCAGCCAAGUUUUACUUCAGCUUCACGUUACUGCUGCAGCUAUCGGGCAAAAUUUAAAUUACGAUAUACGCCCCUUUAUGAAGAGCUGUCUCCGCCAGCAACAGGAGAACUGCGAAAUAAUGCAAUUAAUCUGGUAGCCGCUGUCCGAUGUAUCUCUCUUUCUCGUUUCGACGCCGAGGGGUUCCGCGCAAUCAGUCUCGUGUACGCCGGCUCCUAUUUAUUCAGAAGGCUCGGAACGCAGGUGAAGUUAAAAAGUAUCAGUGGUCGCAUCCAGUCAGCCGACCAUAAGUUCGCAACACAUGGCUCAUGAAGAUACAGAUUGAGAAUGAUGGAAAAAGGCAGGGAAACACCCAGACCUUUUUCCCUAGAACAUAAAGACGAGCAGGAAAGAACUCGCAGCUUUACUAUUAUCUAUCGGACCACCAGCUCUAGCUAUAUUAUCUUCGGUAUAGUAGCCUGACUUCAGUCUGUGCAACGCUAUCGAGGCUGGGGACGGUAUUAGCUCAGAAUCAUGGCGGGAGAAAUUAUUAUUAUUAUUAUUAUUAUUCAGGUGAAGUUUUUACCGCACAAAAAUUUAAUGGUGGG
Molecule: long non-coding RNA, 906 nt
Filed under: Varroa destructor (honeybee mite)
Lineage: Eukaryota; Metazoa; Arthropoda; Arachnida; Mesostigmata; Varroidae
Description: uncharacterized LOC111244762, transcript variant X2
Source: RNAcentral